AGUCCAGAGUUUUUGAAAUUGCAGUUCCAAUAGUUUCUUCCAUUGGCUUGGUAAUAAAGAUUCAUGGCGAUAGAAGCAUGGUUGAUGAGGUUACCAGGGGAAUAACAUGGACAUCCACUCGAAAGAACACGACAAUCAACAUGAGAACAUGCGAAGUUUAUGUUAUCUAGAAGUGUUGCUUGAUCCGAAGAAGGUUUGGCCACACACCAAGUCUUAGUCUAUAACAACAACUUGGAACAAAAUUCACUGAGUAAGAAGAAAUCAGAUUGCAGUUUUUCAAACAUUGAUAAGUGGUCUAA
Molecule: long non-coding RNA, 299 nt
Filed under: Arabidopsis lyrata
Lineage: Eukaryota; Viridiplantae; Streptophyta; Magnoliopsida; Brassicales; Brassicaceae
Description: long non-coding RNA (ALYR_LNC002905)
Source: RNAcentral